Molecule: ribosomal RNA, 264 nt
Filed under: uncultured bacterium
Lineage: Bacteria
Description: partial 16S ribosomal RNA
Rfam family: Bacterial small subunit ribosomal RNA
Source: RNAcentral
UACGUAGGGUGCGAGCGUUAAUCGGAAUUACUGGGCGUAAAGCGUGCGCAGGCGGCUUCGCAAGUCAGACGUGAAAUCCCGGCUACUGGAUGCGUUGAAACUACGGAGCUGGAGUGUGGCAGAGGGAGGUAGAAUUCCACGUGUAGCGGUGAAAUGCGUAGAUAUGUGGAGGAAUACCGAUGGCGAAGGCAGCCUCCUGGGCCAACACUGACGCUCAUGCACGAAAGCGUGGGGAGCAAACAGGAUUAGAUACCCCGUGUACGU